This 620-nucleotide ribosomal RNA is filed under the name Dyella japonica. RNAcentral describes it as "bacterial SSU rRNA". It matches the Rfam family "Bacterial small subunit ribosomal RNA", at positions 446 to 1057 of the family's 1533-position model. Lineage: Bacteria; Pseudomonadati; Pseudomonadota; Gammaproteobacteria; Lysobacterales; Rhodanobacteraceae. The record is from RNAcentral.
CGAAAUGCCAUUGGUUAAUACCCGGUGGAGCUGACGGUACCUGAGGAAUAAGCACCGGCUAACUUCGUGCCAGCAGCCGCGGUAAUACGAAGGGUGCAAGCGUUAAUCGGAAUUACUGGGCGUAAAGCGUGCGUAGGCGGUUAUUUAAGUCUGUUGUGAAAUCCCCGGGCUCAACCUGGGAAUGGCAAUGGAUACUGGAUAGCUAGAGUGUGAUAGAGGAUGGUGGAAUUCCCGGUGUAGCGGUGAAAUGCGUAGAGAUCGGGAGGAACAUCAGUGGCGAAGGCGGCCAUCUGGAUCAACACUGACGCUGAGGCACGAAAGCGUGGGGAGCAAACAGGAUUAGAUACCCUGGUAGUCCACGCCCUAAACGAUGCGAACUGGAUGUUGGUCUCAACUCGGAGAUCAGUGUCGAAGCUAACGCGUUAAGUUCGCCGCCUGGGGAGUACGGUCGCAAGACUGAAACUCAAAGGAAUUGACGGGGGCCCGCACAAGCGGUGGAGUAUGUGGUUUAAUUCGAUGCAACGCGAAGAACCUUACCUGGCCUUGACAUGUCUGGAAUCCUGCAGAGAUGCGGGAGUGCCUUCGGGAAUCAGAACACAGGUGCUGCAUGGCUGUCGUCA